CGCGGCCGCGUGGGGACGACCGGAGGGCGAGCGGCCGGAGCGGCGGGGCCCCCUAUAGGGGUGAAGCGCGCCCCCGCGGCCGGCGCGGGCCCCGACCCGAGCUCGGGAGCCCGCCCCGGCUGGGGUGCGACCGCGUUACCGCGUCGGCCCGUGGGACGCGGAGGGGCGCCCAGUGCGCGGAUAACACCGUGUAUCUGAAUUUGCCGAACGUUUAUCUGUGCUUGCUCCUUAAAAAGCCCGCUGAAAUCGAGGAUGCCGCAGGAGCCCAGAAGGAGGGCGGCCGGAGCCAGACCCCGACCAAGGCGAGGAAAGCGCUUCCCGGCUGCCGUUUUUCCUUCGGGACAGCCCAGUCGCUAGAGCUCAGUGGGACCGCCUCCUCCCUCCUCGCCCUACAAAAUGGGGGAACUCGCUCC
This is a long non-coding RNA of Zalophus californianus (California sea lion), 413 nucleotides long. RefSeq lists it as uncharacterized. NCBI's taxonomy places the organism in Eukaryota, Metazoa, Chordata, Mammalia, Carnivora, Otariidae. The record is from RefSeq and is a predicted model, not a curated record. The transcript has 3 exons.